CCCAAGCUGUAACACAGGAAUAAGCAUUUCAAGUGUAGGGGCCACUGAAGAGGCCAUUCCGUGCAGAGAAAGGCCAAGGAACUACCUCAAGAAUAUAUGAAAUGGCGUUUGGGUGGGUCGGUUGUGCUCAGUUGGUGAUCAGCCAAGCAGUUUUCACUGGUUUCUGGAGGUCGCAACUAUCAAAGAUUCUCAAGCAGGGUGGAAAAGCUGGCGCUCACAAACCUCUUCAUAAGCCUGCUCCAGAAUCUGUCAGAAUUCUCAUCUUUUC
RNAcentral lists this long non-coding RNA (268 nucleotides) under Homo sapiens (human). RNAcentral describes it as "HSALNT0113144". The record is from RNAcentral. Lineage: Eukaryota; Metazoa; Chordata; Mammalia; Primates; Hominidae.